Long non-coding RNA from Melanotaenia boesemani (Boeseman's rainbowfish), 1240 nucleotides. RefSeq lists it as uncharacterized. The record is from RefSeq and is a predicted model, not a curated record. Lineage: Eukaryota; Metazoa; Chordata; Actinopteri; Atheriniformes; Melanotaeniidae. The transcript has 3 exons.
CAAAAUACAAUGUUACCCAAAAGCUAGAAAGUAAUGUACAUGUCUGUUUUAUUAUAAAAUAAAAUGGGGGGAAAAAAACUUUUUUUUAAGGAACAAGAAACUCGUUGUUCGUCUUUAAAUUUGGUGUGCUGGUUUAAGUCUGACUGUAAGGGGUAGGAAGGAUAGUACCAGGAAUCCAGGAAACAGUCGACUCAGACGUGUUCAACACUGGGUCUGAGUGAUGACCAGGUUGGAGGUGUCGGCCAACUGUGGAGUGUGCUGGGACCCAGAAGGAAAUGAGCUCCAUGUUUUAACAGAUGAGUAUAAAAUAACAUACUAACACUUGUGCAUAUGUGUGAGUGGGCUGCUCACCCGGUGUUGUGUGUGUCUGAGGGCCUUUAUCUUCCUUGCAGAACAGAACCCCAGUGAGGCCAUGUGCAAUUUGGGACAACUUUGAUCUUUUGGAAGUUGGACAACAUGCUUUUUUGUGGACACUUGGGUCCCAAAUUUCAGUGAGGACCAGGCGAAAUAUCCAGAAUGGAGGAAGAACAGGGAACAAGAACUGAGUUUCCAGCAGCAGGAAGAUUUUGUGUCGGUGAAAUCUGAUGAUAAAAAUGAAACUGCCUGACCAUGGCCACCGGUGAAGAAGGAAGCAACAACCCACUAACACAGCAACCACAACAGUGGCAGACUGGGGCAAAAAAGUGGCCCGGGAAUUUAGUACCCGACUGGUUCACUAAGGGACUGCGGUAGAUGCUGGAGGUGGAUGUUGGUGAUGGAUGAUGAAGGAAGAAGAACAGUCUGAGCUGAUCCUGAGACCAGGAGACUGGGUCCUGAAUAAAGUCAUCAAAAAGAAGCAUUGGCAUUCUCCGUGGUGCGACGGUCCAUAUCGGGUGCUUUUAAUCACACUCACUGCUGUGAAGAUCGCCCAGAGGUCAGCGUGGAUUCAUCUUUCCCACUGCAACAAAGUACCAGUUAGUGUCCCAGACCCACUAGGGAAGAGUUUGACUUCAAAGGGGUUCGGGACCCAUAUGGCCGCUCGUCUCAAUGUCAGCGGAAGAAACCAUCGGCUCGGUGGGUCAUUUAGGGAGUACUAGUUGGCAGAGAAGGACAAGGGCAUCGUCGACAUGGGGGAGAACACCAUUGCAGACUCAGAUGGAAAAUAUUCCAACAGUGUGAGUCAUGGACUUGUACGAUUGUAAUGCUAAUGAUGAUUUUAACAAUACAUUUUAGGGAUGUGUGGUUGAGUGAGAUGUCUGGG